UUUAGGGUUUAGGGUUUAGAGUUUAGGGUUUAGGUUUUAGAGUUGAGAAAUGAGGUUUUGGGGAUAAGAUUUCAAAUUUUGAAAAAUAAAAAAAUUAAAAUUUUCAAAGGAUAAACUUAGAAAUGUGCUAUUUUGGUCAUUUUAGUUCUUGAGUGCUAUUUUUGUGAUAUAAACUUAGAAAUGUGUUAUUUUGGAGAUUUGCCCUUAU
This 208-nucleotide long non-coding RNA is filed under the name Brassica napus (rape). RNAcentral's name for it is "long non-coding RNA (BNAP_LNC015108)". The record is from RNAcentral. Lineage: Eukaryota; Viridiplantae; Streptophyta; Magnoliopsida; Brassicales; Brassicaceae.